CCUANGGGAGGCAGCAGUGGGGAAUAUUGGGCAAUGGGCGAAAGCCUGACCCAGCGACGCCGCGUGGGUGAUGAAGGCCUUCGGGUUGUAAAGCCCUGUCAUUCGGAAAGAACAGUCUUACGGUUAAUACCCGUAAGAUUUGACGGUACCGCAGGAGGAAGCACCGGCUAACUCCGUGCCAGCAGCCGCGGUAAUACGGAGGGUGCAAGCGUUGUUCGGAAUUAUUGGGCGUAAAGGACGCGUAGGCGGUAAUGAAAGUCAGAUGUGAAAUACUUCGGCUCAACUGAAGAACUGCAUCUGAAACUUCAUAACUAGAGUACAGAAGAGGGAAACGGAAUUCCCGGUGUAGAGGUGAAAUUCGUAGAUAUCGGGAGGAACACCAGUGGCGAAGGCGGUUUCCUGGUCUGAUACUGACGCUGAGGCGUGAAAGUGUGGGGAGCAAACAGGAUUAGAUACCCCGNUANUC
RNAcentral lists this ribosomal RNA (466 nucleotides) under uncultured bacterium. Its description in RNAcentral is "bacterial SSU rRNA". It matches the Rfam family "Bacterial small subunit ribosomal RNA", at positions 338 to 795 of the family's 1533-position model. The record is from RNAcentral.